GGGAAUGUGGCUUAGUGGUAGAGUGCUUGCCUUGCAUGCAUGAAGCCCUGGGUUCGAUUCCUCAGUACCA
This is a non-coding RNA of Dipodomys ordii (Ord's kangaroo rat), 70 nucleotides long. The record is from Rfam. NCBI's taxonomy places the organism in Eukaryota, Metazoa, Chordata, Mammalia, Rodentia, Heteromyidae.